CCCUUAGAUGUUCUGGGCCGCACGCGCGCUACACUGAUGCAUUCAACGAGUCUAAAACCUGCUCUGAUAGGGGUGGGUAAUCUUUUGAAUGUGCAUCGUGAUUGGGAUAGAUGAUUGCAAUUUUUCAUCUUCAACGAGGAAUGCCUAGUAAACGCAAGUCAUCAGCUUGCAUUGAUUACGUCCCUGCCCUUUGUACACACCGCCCGUCGCUCCUACCGAUUGAAUGAUCCGAUGAAUAUCAUGGAUUGAGGAUGCAAGCAGGUUCGCCUGUCUUCAUCUUCGAGAAGUGAAUUAAAUCUUAUCAUUUAGAGGAAGGAGAAGUCGUAACA
This 329-nucleotide ribosomal RNA is filed under the name uncultured eukaryote. RNAcentral describes it as "partial 18S ribosomal RNA". It matches the Rfam family "Eukaryotic small subunit ribosomal RNA", at positions 1470 to 1796 of the family's 1831-position model. The record is from RNAcentral.